GACGAACGCUGGCGGCGUGCUUAACACAUGCAAGUCGAACGGAAAGGCCCUGCUUUUGUGGGGUGCUCGAGUGGCGAACGGGUGAGUAACACGUGAGUAACCUGCCCUUGACUUUGGGAUAACUUCAGGAAACUGGGGCUAAUACCGGAUAGGAGCUCCUGCUGCAUGGUGGGGGUUGGAAAGUUUCGGCGGUUGGGGAUGGACUCGCGGCUUAUCAGCUUGUUGGUGGGGUAGUGGCUUACCAAGGCUUUGACGGGUAGCCGGCCUGAGAGGGUGACCGGCCACAUUGGGACUGAGAUACGGCCCAGACUCCUACGGGAGGCAGCAGUGGGGAUAUUGCACAAUGGGCGGAAGCCUGAUGCAGCAACGCCGCGUGCGGGAUGACGGCCUUCGGGUUGUAAACCGCCUUCGCCUGUGACGAAGCGUGAGUGACGGUAAUGGGUAAAGAAGCACCGGCUAACUACGUG
This 467-nucleotide ribosomal RNA is filed under the name uncultured bacterium. Its description in RNAcentral is "partial 16S ribosomal RNA". It matches the Rfam family "Bacterial small subunit ribosomal RNA", at positions 28 to 507 of the family's 1533-position model. The record is from RNAcentral.